Molecule: ribosomal RNA, 468 nt
Filed under: uncultured bacterium
Lineage: Bacteria
Description: partial 16S ribosomal RNA
Rfam family: Bacterial small subunit ribosomal RNA
Source: RNAcentral
GACGAACGCUGGCGGCGUGCUUAACACAUGCAAGUCGAACGGAAAGGCCCUGCUUUUGUGGGGUGCUCGAGUGGCGAACGGGUGAGUAACACGUGAGUAACCUGCCCUUGACUUUGGGAUAACUUCAGGAAACUGGGGCUAAUACCGGAUAGGAGCUCCUGCUGCAUGGUGAGGGUUGGAAAGUUUCGGCGGUUGGGGGUGGACUCGCGGCUUAUCAGCUUGUUGGUGGGGUAGUGGCUUACCAAGGCUUUGACGGGUAGCCGGCCUGAGAGGGUGACCGGCCACAUUGGGACUGAGAUACGGCCCAGACUCCUACGGGAGGCAGCAGUGGGGAAUAUUGCACAAUGGGCGGAAGCCUGAUGCAGCAACGCCGCGUGCGGGAUGACGGCCUUCGGGUUGUAAACCGCUUUCGCCUGUGACGAAGCGUGAGUGACGGUAAUGGGUAAAGAAGCACCGGCUAACUACGUG